UAUGUGCCAGCUGAUGUUGAUAAG
RNAcentral lists this unclassified non-coding RNA (24 nucleotides) under Mus musculus (house mouse). Its description in RNAcentral is "oocyte_clustered_small_RNA195". Lineage: Eukaryota; Metazoa; Chordata; Mammalia; Rodentia; Muridae. The record is from RNAcentral.